Molecule: ribosomal RNA, 253 nt
Filed under: uncultured bacterium
Lineage: Bacteria
Also listed under: 1 other name
Description: partial 16S ribosomal RNA
Rfam family: Bacterial small subunit ribosomal RNA
Source: RNAcentral
UACGUAGGCAGCGAGCGUUGUUCGGAAUUACUGGGCGUAAAGCGUGCGUAGGCGGUGCCUCAAGUUUGGUGUGAAAUCUCCCGGCUCAACCGGGAGGGUGCGCCGAAAACUGAGGUGCUCGAGUGUGGGAGAGGUAAGCGGAAUUCCUGGUGUAGCGGUGAAAUGCGUAGAUAUCAGGAGGAACACCGGCGGUGUAGACGGCUUACUGGACCAUAACUGACGCUGAGGCACGAAAGUGUGGGGAGCAAACAGG